RNAcentral lists this ribosomal RNA (253 nucleotides) under uncultured bacterium. RNAcentral's name for it is "partial 16S ribosomal RNA". It matches the Rfam family "Bacterial small subunit ribosomal RNA", at positions 524 to 776 of the family's 1533-position model. The record is from RNAcentral.
GACGGAGGAUGCAAGUGUUAUCCGGAAUCACUGGGCUUAAAGCGUCUGUAGGUGGUCAAAUAAGUCAACUGUUAAAUCUUGAGGCUCAACCUCAAAAUCGCAGUCGAAACUAUUAGACUAGAGUAUAGUAGGGGUAAAGGGAAUUUCCAGUGGAGCGGUGAAAUGCGUAGAUAUUGGAAAGAACACCGAUGGCGAAGGCACUUUACUGGGCUAUUACUAACACUCAGAGACGAAAGCUAGGGUAGCAAAUGGG